Molecule: long non-coding RNA, 567 nt
Organism: Hydractinia symbiolongicarpus
Lineage: Eukaryota; Metazoa; Cnidaria; Hydrozoa; Anthoathecata; Hydractiniidae
Exons: 2
Source: RefSeq, a predicted model, not a curated record
UGUAAUUCCUGCAGUUACAUAAACUCUUUUAAAUCAAAGUUGCCAACACACGCAGGAGAAAAAAAGAAGAUUUGUGCAACCUUGUAGAAGUUGACCAGAGACAUAGCAAAAAUGAAAUUGGAGUUAUUUUGCAUAAUUAUGUUAUUAUCAGUGCGAGUAGAAACCGGUGUAAUCAACUGGAAACAAGCGGUUGUGAAACACUACCAAAAAACAACUACAAGAGAUAACGUGGGCUCAAAAUGUAACACUGUCAAUGAAGAAGUAUGUGAAGAAUUUUGUGGCGGUGGAUUUUGUUACGAUGUUUGUGACACAAAACCCAGAAUAAACUGCAUAGCUUAAGACUUGGUGGAAUACUGUAUGCAACGUGUAAAUUACAGAACAAAUUGCAUAGCUUAAGGCUUGGUGGAACAUUUUAUGCAACGUUUAAAUUACAUAACAACAUUAUUUAUUUAUUUUUGCAUCACCAUUCGAAACAGGAACAAGUAAACGAAAAUGUAAUUAUGUAAAAUAUUAUUAUUUUGUAAGAUAUAUUUGUAGAGAAAUAUAUAUUAGUUAUAAAACAUGAAA